RNAcentral lists this ribosomal RNA (452 nucleotides) under uncultured bacterium. RNAcentral describes it as "SSU rRNA". It matches the Rfam family "Bacterial small subunit ribosomal RNA", at positions 26 to 518 of the family's 1533-position model. The record is from RNAcentral.
AGGAUGAACGUUGGCGGCGUGCCUAACACAUGCAAGUCGAGCGUGGCUUUAGUUUACUAAAGUCUAGCGGCGGACGGCUGAGUAAUGCACAGGAACGUACCCGAGAGUGGGGGAUAGCCCAUCGAAAGAUGGGGUAAUACCGCAUUCGCUCGCAAGAGUAAAGCCGCAAGGCGCUUUCGGAGCGGCCUGUGUCCUAUCAGGUUGUUGGUGGGGUAAUUGCCUACCAAGCCUAUGACGGGUAGCUGGUCUGAGAGGAUGAUCAGCCAGACCGGGACUGAGACACGGCCCGGACUCCUACGGGAGGCAGCAGUUGGGAAUCUUGCGCAAUGGACGAAAGUCUGACGCAGCGACGCCGCGUGGAGGAUUAAGGCCUUGGUUGUAACUCCUUUGCUAGGGAGUAAUUUUGUAAGUACCUAGCGAAUAGCACCGGCUAACUCCGCGCCAGCAGCCGC